GGGAGCCGGGCCUCUGCAGGGUGGCGGUGGCGUACAGCUCCUGGGAGUGCUUGCUGUACUGCUCGGCAGCGUGAACCAGCCGCUUGGUGGGCGACAGAGUGGCGAUUUACAUGAAACCUUAGAAAGUACUGCAAAUCCCGUGAGCUGCAGUUCGAGACUGGCCAGAGCCUCGCCCCAACGCGCACCUCUCAACGAGGCUUCUUGAGCCAGAACUUCCUUUAAAAUGCAAAUAGUGCAUUCUGUGACUCAGCUCGGAGUUGCAGUGAAUGCCAACGGCAAUGCUGCUUCACAUUUAAAGAGAAACGUAGGAUUUUUUUAGUCCCGUCCUACAGGGAAAAAAACAAAACAACAACCAAAAGCAAACAACCAAGUAAAACAAAAUCACCGCAUUCCAGCAAUGAAACUUGGAUACCCAACCGAGGAUUUUGGUGAGGAACUGAGGACGAGACAAAAAAGAAAAUAAUCAGAAGAAUGCAGGUAUGAAGCUCAAAAUGCCACAAACAUGCUUCUUAUGCUUCUUUCAGUGUACACCUGCUGGAGAUGAUUCCAUCCUUCGCUUUUUUUUUUUUUUUUUUUUUUUUUUUUUUUUUUUUUUUUUUUUUUUU
Tympanuchus pallidicinctus (lesser prairie-chicken) is the source of this 605-nucleotide long non-coding RNA. RefSeq lists it as uncharacterized. The record is from RefSeq and is a predicted model, not a curated record. The transcript has 2 exons. NCBI's taxonomy places the organism in Eukaryota, Metazoa, Chordata, Aves, Galliformes, Phasianidae.